UCAGGAUGAACGCUGGCGGCGUGCCUAACACAUGCAAGUCGAACGGAGUUACGAGAGCUUGCUUUGUAACUUAGUGGCGGACGGGUGAGUAAUGUAUGAGCAACCUGCCUUCAGAGGGGGACAACAGUUGGAAACGACUGCUAAUACCGCAUAAUGAUUUUGGAGGCAUCUCCGGGAUACCAAAGGAGCAAUCCGCUGAAAGAUGGGCUCAUAUCUGAUUAGCUAGUUGGUGGGGUAACGGCUCACCAAGGCUGCGAUCAGUAGCCGGACUGAGAGGUUGAACGGCCACAUUGGGACUGAGAUACGGCCCAGACUCCUACGGGAGGCAGCAGUGGGGAAUAUUGGGCAAUGGGCGAAAGCCUGACCCAAGCAACGCCGCGUGAAGGAAGAAGGUCUUCGGAUUGUAAACUUCUUUUAUGAGGGACGAAGGACGUGACGGUACCUCAUGAAUAAGCCACGGCUAACUACGUGCCAGCAGCAGC
RNAcentral lists this ribosomal RNA (482 nucleotides) under uncultured bacterium. Its description in RNAcentral is "bacterial SSU rRNA". It matches the Rfam family "Bacterial small subunit ribosomal RNA", at positions 24 to 518 of the family's 1533-position model. The record is from RNAcentral.